UAACAAGGAUUCCCCUAGUAACGGCGAGUGAAGCGGGAAGAGCUCAAAUUUAAAAUCUGGCAGUCUACGAUUGUCCGAAUUGUAAUCUCGAGAAGUGUUUUCCGCGUUGGCCUGUGCACAAGUCCCUUGGAACAGGGCGUCAUAGAGGGUGAGAAUCCCGUCCUUGGCACAGAUACCCAAUGCUUUGUGAUACACUCUCAAUGAGUCGAGUUGUUUGGGAAUGCAGCUCAAAAUGGGAGGUAAAUUCCUUCUAAAGCUAAAUACUGGCGAGAGACCGAUAGCGAACAAGUACCGUGAGGGAAAGAUGAAAAGCACUUUGGAAAGAGAGUCAAACAGUACGUGAAAUUGUUGAAAGGGAAACGAUUGAAGUCGGUCGUGCCUGCCUAGAUUCAGCCUUCUGGUGUAUUUCUAGGUCGGCAGGUCAGCAUCAGUUUGGGAGGGUUAACAAGGGAAUUAGGAAUGUGGCAACCUCGGUUGUGUUAUAGCCUAGUUUCGUAUUGAUCUUGCUGGACUGAGGAACGCAGUGCGCCCGCAAGGGUAGGUCUUCGGACACUUUCGCACUUAGGAUGCUGGCGUAAU
RNAcentral lists this ribosomal RNA (579 nucleotides) under uncultured Cystofilobasidium. Its description in RNAcentral is "eukaryotic LSU rRNA". It matches the Rfam family "Eukaryotic large subunit ribosomal RNA", at positions 66 to 635 of the family's 3401-position model. The record is from RNAcentral. Lineage: Eukaryota; Fungi; Basidiomycota; Tremellomycetes; Cystofilobasidiales; Cystofilobasidiaceae.